UACGUAGGUGGCAAGCGUUGUCCGGAAUUAUUGGGCGUAAAGCGCGCGCAGGCGGUCCUUUAAGUCUGAUGUGAAAUCUCCGGGCUCAACCCGGAAAUGGCAUUGGAUACUAUUCGGCUCGAGGUCUGGAGGGGGGACUGGAAUACUUGGUGUAGCAGUGAAAUGCGUAGAUAUCAAGUGGAACACCAGUGGCGAAGGCGAGUCCCUGGACAGAUCCUGACGCUGAGGCACGAAAGCUAGGGAAGCAAACAGG
RNAcentral lists this ribosomal RNA (253 nucleotides) under uncultured bacterium. Its description in RNAcentral is "partial 16S ribosomal RNA". It matches the Rfam family "Bacterial small subunit ribosomal RNA", at positions 524 to 776 of the family's 1533-position model. The record is from RNAcentral.